Molecule: ribosomal RNA, 789 nt
Filed under: Triticum aestivum (bread wheat)
Lineage: Eukaryota; Viridiplantae; Streptophyta; Magnoliopsida; Poales; Poaceae
Description: partial small subunit ribosomal RNA
Source: RNAcentral
AUGGCGGACGCGUACUGGCGGUACGCCGACCUCCAGCGCCAGCAGCAGCAGCAGCAGAUGCUUCCCCCCUCUGCCGGGGCCCCGCAGUCGUCGCUGGCCGCGGCGGCCGCCGCAGUGCAGCAGCCCCUCAAGCGCCCCCGCCCCGGCGACUACUCCGCCGAUGGACAUGGUGCUCCUGAGAUGGCGGGCUAUUACCCUCGUGAUGAAGAAAGGCCAGGAUAUGCUGCCGUGAGAGAUACACAGGCUCUUAAUGCUUCCUAUGAGCGUUUUCUGCGUACUGGGCAAAUUCAGUCCUAUGGCGCUGGACCUGCUGGUGGAUCUGUCAGGCCUACCGCGGGAGCCAGUGCUGGUGGCUACCAAGCUGAUGAUCGUCCGGGCAUGGCUGCUGGGGGUAUGAAUGGCAGGAAUGUUGGUUUUGGUGGUGGAAUGCCAGAGCCUCCCCUUCCCCCAGAUGCCUCAAACACCUUGUUCAUUGAAGGCAUCCCUCCUGAUUGUGAACGCCGAGAAGUUUCUCAUAUCUUUCGACCAUUUGUUGGUUUUCAGGAGGUGAGACUUGUGAACAAAGAACCAAGACAUCCUGGUGGUGACCCAAUCGUCCUCUGUUUUGUUGAUUUCACUAAUGCUUCUCAAGCAGCUAUUGCCAUGGAAGCUUUGCAAGGCUAUAAGUUUGAUGAACAUGACCGCAGCUCACCUCAGCUGCGGCUGCAGUUUGCUCGUUUUAAGGGUCCAAGGGGGCAAGCAGGAGGACCUGGUGGUGGUGGCGGCGGCGGCGGUGGUAUUAGGCGUUAA